RNAcentral lists this ribosomal RNA (1661 nucleotides) under Pectenocypris sp. MZB 22148. RNAcentral describes it as "16S ribosomal RNA". The stretch from base 95 to 1546 matches the Rfam family "Bacterial large subunit ribosomal RNA". The record is from RNAcentral. Lineage: Eukaryota; Metazoa; Chordata; Actinopteri; Cypriniformes; Danionidae.
GCUAAACAACUAGCUUAACCACCCAAAUAACCAAACAAUCAGUAACAAAGAUUUAAAUUAAAUAAAAUAACUAAACCAUUCCCCUAACCCUAGUAUGGGAGACAGAAAAGGCCCCAUUAAAGCAAUAGAAAAAGUACCGCAAGGGAAAGUUGAAAGAGAAAUGAAACAACCCAUAUAAGCCAUAAAAAUCAAAGACUAAAUCUUGUACCUUUUGCAUCAUGAUUUAGCAAGUCUAUUCAAGCAAAGAGACCUUUAGUUUGAAACCCCGAAACCAAGUGAGCUACCCCGGGACAGCUUAAAUAAUAUUAGAGCGAACCCGUCUCUGUGGCAAAAGAGUGGAAAGAGCCCCGGGUAGAGGUGAAAAACCUACCGAACUUGGUGAUAGCUGGUUGCCUAAGAAAUGAAUAUUAGUUCAGCAUUAUAUCCCCUAAACCAAACCCCAGCAAGGAAUUUAGGAAAAAUAUAAUAGUCAAUUUAAGAGGGUACAGCCUCUUAAAUAAAGGACACAACCUUAACAGGAGAAUAAAGAUUAUAAUACCAAAAACAUAUUACCCUAGUAGGCUUAAAAGCAGCCACCUAAAUAGAAAGCGUCAAAGCUCAAGCAAACAAAAGUUUAUUAUUCUAAUAAAUUAAUCUCACUUCCCCAAAAAUACUAGGCUAUUCCAUGCACCCAUGGAAGAAAUUAUGCUAAAAUGAGUAACAAGAAGAACACGCCCUUCUCCAAGCACGAGUGUAAGUCAGAUCGGACCUACCACUGAUAAUUAACGAACCCAAAAAGAGGGCAAUAUAGACUAAAUAAUAAUCAAGAAAAACCCAUAAAUAAAUCAAUCGUUAUCCUUACACCAGAGUGCGCACAAAGGAAAGACUAAAAGAAAAGGAAGGAACUCAGCAAACACAAGCCUCGCCUGUUUACCAAAAACAUCGCCUCCUGCAUAGCCAUGUAUAGGAGGUCCAACCUGCCCACGUGACUAUAAGUUAAACGGCCGCGGUAUUUUAACCGUGCAAAGGUAGCGUAAUCACUCGUUCCCUAAAUAGGAACCCGUAUGAAUGGUUAGACGAGGGCCUAACUGUCUCCCUUUUCCAGUCAGUGAAAUUGAUCUAUCCGUGCAGAAGCGGAUAUAAUAAUACAAGACGAGAAGACCCUUUGGAGCUUAAGGUACAAGACUCAAUCAUUUUAACAACGAUUAUUCAUGAAAACUGAGACUUUACCUUCGGUUGGGGUGACCACGGAAAAAACCAACAUCCGAGUGGAUUGAAUAAUUUUCAGAACCAAGAAAAACACUUCUAAGUAGCAGAACAUCUGACCAAAUAUGACCCGGCCACAAGCCGAUCAACGAACCAAGUUACCCAAGGGAUAACAGCGCAAUCCUCUUUAAGAGCCCCUAUCGACAAGAGGGUUUACGACCUCGAUGUUGGAUCAGGACAUCCUGAUGGUGCAGCCACUAUCAAGGGUUCGUUUGUUCAACGAUUAAAGUCCUACGUGAUCUGAGUUCAGACCGGAGAAAUCCAGGUCAGUUUCUAUCUGUAAUGCCAUUUUCUCCUAGUACGAAAGGACCGGAAAAAGAGGGCCAACUCUAUAAGCGCGCCCUACCCCAAAUUAAUGAAUCCAAAUAAAUUAAACUAAAGGGAGAGCACAAAACAAUCAUCCGAAAUAAGGAGAU